RNAcentral lists this ribosomal RNA (1228 nucleotides) under Desulfurococcus saccharovorans. RNAcentral describes it as "partial 16S ribosomal RNA". It matches the Rfam family "Archaeal small subunit ribosomal RNA", at positions 17 to 1314 of the family's 1478-position model. Lineage: Archaea; Thermoproteati; Thermoproteota; Thermoprotei; Desulfurococcales; Desulfurococcaceae. The record is from RNAcentral.
CCGGUCCCGACCGCUAUCGGGGUGGGGCUAAGCCAUGGGAGUCGCACGCUCCGCCGCUGCGGGGCGUGGCGGACGGCUGAGUAACACGUGGCUAACCUACCCUCGGGAGGGGGAUAACACCGGGAAACUGGUGCUAAUCCCCCAUAGGGGAGGAGGCCUGGAAGGGUUCCUCCCCGAAAGGGUGUGGCAGGGGUUAACGCUGCUACACCGCCCGAGGAUGGGGCUACGGCCCAUUAGGUUGUUGGCGGGGUAACGGCCCGCCAAGCCGAUAAUGGGUAGGGGCCGUGAGAGCGGGAGCCCCCAGAUGGGCACUGANACAAACCGUGACGGGGCCACCCCNNNNNNNCCCUUACGGGGGCUUUUCCCCGCUGUAGGAAGGCGGGGGAAUAAGCGGGGGGCAAGUCUGGUGUCAGCCGCCGCGGUAAUACCAGCCCCGCGAGUGGUCGGGACGAUUAUUGGGCCUAAAGCGCCCGUAGCCGGCCCGGCAAGUCCCCUCCUAAAUUCCCGGGCUCAACCCGGGNACUGGAGGGGAUACUGCCGGGCUAGGGGGUGGNAGAGNCCGAGGGUACUCCCGGGGUAGGGGNGAAAUCCUAUAAUCCCGGGAGGACCACCAGUGGCGAAGGCGCUCGGCUGCGAACCNGAUUAGAUANCCGGGUAGUCCCGGCUGUAAACGAUGCGGGCUAGGUGUUNNGUNGGCUUAGAGCCCACCCAGUGCCGCAGGGAAGCCGUUAAGCCCGCCGCCUGGGGAGUACGGCCGCAAGGCUGAAACUCAAAGGAAUUGGCGGGGGAGCACCACAAGGGGUGGAGCCUGCGGUUCAAUUGGAGUCAACGCCGGGAAUCUCACCGGGGGAGACAGCAGGAUGACGGCCAGGUUAAAGGCCUUGCCUGACGCGCUGAGAGGAGGUGCAUGGCCGUCGCCAGCUCGUGCUGUGAAGUGUCCGGUUAAGUCCGGAAACGAGCGAGACCCCCACCCCUAGUUGCUACCCGGGGCUACGGCUCCGGGGCACACUAGGGGGACUGCCGCCGUUUAAGGNNNAGGAAGGAGGGGGCCACGGCAGGUCAGCAUGCCCCGAACCCCCCGGGCUACACGCGGGCUACAAUGGCGGGGACAGCGGGAUCCGACCCCGAAAGGGNNAGNCAAUCCCUCAAACCCCGCCGUGGUUGGGAUCGAGGGCUGCAACUCGCCCUCGUGAACGAGNAAUCCNUAGUAACCGCGCGUCAACAUCGC